Pipra filicauda (Wire-tailed manakin) is the source of this 3316-nucleotide long non-coding RNA. RefSeq lists it as uncharacterized. The transcript has 2 exons. The record is from RefSeq and is a predicted model, not a curated record. NCBI's taxonomy places the organism in Eukaryota, Metazoa, Chordata, Aves, Passeriformes, Pipridae.
GGUUAAACUGGGAAAACAUUGGGGAAUUCCUGAGUCUCUCUAUUUGCCAAACUCACCCAAACCUGUGCUAGGAAGAGGUGGACUGGAGUCCCUGAUCCCCUGGGCAGUUGUCCUGCAUGACCUGGGAGCCUCUGGAUUUGAGUGGCCUGGGCAGACAGGGAGCAGUUUGUCCUGUGGAGCUGGGCUGGGUUUGUUCAGGAUGCCUUGGGAGGCAGGGCUGGAGAGGCUCCUCUGUUGGCUGUAGUGCUGGAAGGUUGUAGCAGCAGGGCUGGAGCCCUUGGACCUCCUGCUCCCCCGUGAGCCCCGACGGGACCGUGCCCUUGGCAAGGGAGGGCCCCCCAUUGCUGAGCCAGCGGUUCCGGGGCCAGGAGGGAUGGGAUCAGGAUGCCCAGCUCCACCCAGGGCCAGGGCUGCCAGUGUUCAACCAUGGAGGGAACUGAAAGCAGAGUGAGAUGGAGACCAAGCUCCAGCACAGGGAUGGGUGAGAAAAGAUCCUGGUCCUCAGGUGGAGCUUUGAAUUCCUUGGAAAAUGGAUCCUGUCAGAUGGUUCAGGCCCUCGUGGGUGCUGGAGCAGAGGCCUCUGUGAUUUAUGGUCACCCUGAAAGGUUGCAAGGACAGCAAGUUUUGACUGCAGGAUGAGGUGGCAAACCAAGUGAAGUGGUGCAGAGAAGAGCUGAGGCUGAAACUGGUCCUGUGGCAGAGCAGCCUCGUGCAGUGCUUGUUGCUGUCCCUGAGUGUCCCAUUGCAGUGGAUAUUUCCAAGGGGGCCUUGUGCUGGGGAACACUGGGGGCAGUUCCCUUUCCCUGGGCAGGGCAGGCAGGGCACGUUUCCCCCCUCGAGGGUGGCUCCACAGUCCCCCCCUGUGCCCUGGGAGCGUGGCAGAACACCUGGACCCACUGUCCUUGUCAGAGAGGGCAUGAGGGAUGGUUGGGUGGGUGAGGGAAUGGUUCAGGGAGUACAAGCACCAUUAGAAUGAGUAGUGCAGCACCUGGAAAGGAAGGGGGGAGUUAAUCCAGACCAAAUCCAAGCACCUGCCCAACCUGUGAUAUUUUUAGGAACUCAGAGGUGCUGUGGUCCCCAGGAAGUGUUGCCCAGGACUAGGCAGGAGACUUCAGGCUUGGUCACCCCCAGAGCCAGGUGGCAGCCCAGCAGUUUAUUGGUUGGUUUGGCUUUUGGUGACAACAAGGUCCUCCUUUGGGAUCAAUCCUUGGCCUGGGCCAUGAAGUCCCAGGACAGAUCUGUGAGUUUGAGUGGGAAAUGAGCAGCAGGGAGGGUUGGAGACAGCUCAGGGAGCAAUUCAACAGGCUCAGGACCUGUGGCCAAUCUGAGCCAGGGAGGGGGAACUGAAGGUUCCUACCAGUGGUAAUGGUGCCAGUUGUAGCCUCUGGCAGAAGUAGGGUGGGAAGGAAGUGCCUUUAGGAUUUGGGAAUAGGAAGUUACUGGAAGCCAGCCCAAGGUAGCCCCUGUUGGAGAAGGGGCUCUGAGUAUGUUCUUGGGCUUUAGUGGAAAUCCCCAGAAGGCCGUGGGUACAAAGCUCCUCCAGGGUGCACAGGCCAGGCCCUGCUCAGGAAGGCAGCACCAUGGAAUGGAGAUGGUGUAUCCAAGCCAGAGCCAGAGCAGGGGUCGGGGCAGGAGCGAGGCCUCGGGAGGGAGUUGCCAACAGCCCUGUGGUUGAAGCAACAAGUGUAGAUCCCCUGGACAGUGAGCACAAAUCACUGGGAAAUGGGGAAAAGCCCCAGAGCAAGUGCUGGGAGCAGAGAGGGAGCAUGCCUGGCUCACUGCUGGGUCAGCCCCAUCUGUCAGUGGGAAGCACUUUGGGAAAGCAGGAGCUUAUAACCCGUGCCAGAGGGGGGAGGCAAAAGUCGUCCAUGAGCUGCAUGAGAUGCCCCACCUGUGGGAAUGAAACAGGACCAUGGGAAUAUGUUGGUGUGAAUAACUGUUAGUGGAGGGAAUGCCAUUGCCAUGUUUGAGCUUGAUGUCUUACAGAGACUGUGGGUCCUGGCCAUCCUCAGAGCCCUUGUGGUCCCUCUGGGCGAUGCUGUUGGCCCGGGCAGUGCCCUGGGAAAGGUGCCUGGGUCGGGUGCCUUGGUUUGAUUUGGAUGGAGAUGGAAAAGCAGCUCCAAACCAGGCCCCCAGGACAAGGUGCCCCGGGCAGCAAAUGGCCCUUGGCCAGGGAAAGAAAGGAGGCACAGACUGACCUAACGAGUACCAAUGAACUGACCUGGAGGACUGGAUUCACAUCCUGGAUUGCAAAAAUUAACUGGAUUUUAUCUCCUGAAUCACUGCAGGGCAUCGACUGAUGUUGUGCUGGAAAAAUAACACACUUCAGGGUAAGUCAACCAGGGAGUUUUUGUAGGUAAGAGCAAAUUAUUGCCCUGCAACUUUGAAAGAAGCCUUGACUCGAUCACCAACUGCAAGCAGUAAAUAUAGGGGUCAAUGAGUGACCUUUGGGCAUUAGGUAGAACAACUCCCUGCUCCCCACUGGUGGGACACAUUUACAGCAUUCUCACCAUCUGCUCCCACGUUUUUGAACACUUGAAUCCAUCCAGUAAUCGCAGUAAUUGUACUGAUUUUAUGCACAAAAUGGAGUUGUUGUCUAUGGGAUCCAUUCCAGGAGUUGUUUCUCGUGCGUCUCUGCCCUGCCCAGGGAUCAAAGGCCCAAAGGGAAAGGAUGAGAAGUUCCCUGAGAAUUGAGCCCCGGGGCUGCUGCCCCUGAGGAGCAGGGUAAGGGCUGUGUGUGCUCAGGGGCCACAGUUCUGUCUCUGGGGGCAAUCAGGAUGUGAGGCCUUGCUCCUUUCCUUUUGUAUCCCCUAAAUCUGUAGUUGAGGUGUUGGAUUGUGUUUGUUCAAACUGUUCCUAUUAUUCCCUGACUAAGGAGGAGUUGUGUCCUUGAGUGCCCUGCCUGUCAGCAAAACACCAGGCCCAAAGGAUCCUGGCAAGUGCAGCCCUGGAAGAGUCAGGAAGACUCAAAAAUGCCCCAGUUCUCAUGAAGCUCAACUAUGUAAAACAUUUAUGAAGCUAAAAUUCCACAGCCUUGAGCUGUUGGGUCCCAAAGAGUAGUGGAGGGAGAGGCAGAGAAUGCCCCUGCUGCUGGGGCUGAACUGUGUGCAGUGAGGGGGCAGGACUUGGCCCUGAUGCCUGAGUGCUCUCCAGCCCCCAGGCUGGAUCCCAGCUGUCAGCCCCUGGCUCCAGCCCUUGAGAAGAUGGUGUUCCUGCCAGCCCAGCUGCUGGGCUGGUGGUCCUGGGGGCACCUCCUGCCCUGGCCUGCUGGGAAGGUGUUUGUGCUGCAGCUCAAUAAAGUCCCUUUCAGUGGUGA